ACGGGAGGCAGCAGUGAGGAAUAUUGGUCAAUGGGCGGAAGCCUGAACCAGCCAAGUAGCGUGCAGGAUGACGGCCCUAUGGGUUGUAAACUGCUUUUGUGCGGGGAUAAAAAGCGGGACGUGUCCCGCCUUGUAGGUACCGCAAGAAAAAGGACCGGCUAAUUCCGUGCCAGCAGCCGCGGUAAUACGGAAGGUCCGGGCGUUAUCCGGAUUUAUUGGGUUUAAAGGGUGCGCAGGCGGCACGUUAAGUCAGCGGUGAAAUGUCGGGGCUCAACCCGGGCACUGCCGUUGAAACUGGCGAGCUUGAGUACGGAUGAAGUUGGCGGAAUGUGAUGUGUAGCGGUGAAAUGCUUAGAUAUGUCACAGAACACCGAUUGCGAAGGCAGCUGACUAAUCCGCAACUGACGCUCAGGCACGAAAGCGUGGGGAUCGAACAGGAUUAGAUACCCUGGUA
RNAcentral lists this ribosomal RNA (454 nucleotides) under uncultured Prevotella sp. Its description in RNAcentral is "partial 16S ribosomal RNA". It matches the Rfam family "Bacterial small subunit ribosomal RNA", at positions 341 to 792 of the family's 1533-position model. Lineage: Bacteria; Pseudomonadati; Bacteroidota; Bacteroidia; Bacteroidales; Prevotellaceae. The record is from RNAcentral.